Molecule: long non-coding RNA, 1207 nt
Organism: Triticum dicoccoides
Lineage: Eukaryota; Viridiplantae; Streptophyta; Magnoliopsida; Poales; Poaceae
Exons: 3
Source: RefSeq, a predicted model, not a curated record
AGCUUGGGAGGGACAAAAGAGGAGGUCGCUGGUAGAUGACGGGGGAGCAAGCAAGGACUGAUGGGUGCAUCACUACACUGCUACCCGUUUCUCAACUUUUGCUUUACACGGCACUAUUUCGACAGAAUAUUAUAGGAAGGGUGGACUAUGAAGGGAAACACUGGUGUUCUAAGAUAGAUGUUCUGUGUUUGAGAUCUUGCCUUGGUAGCUGGAUGCCUUGGUGCAAGACAUUCAAGGUUGUUUGAUGCGUUUGUGCUCGUCGGCGGGACGGUGCAAGGCACAACUCCGACGCGGUUCCUCGCCGGUUGGACGGCGUUCAGGCGCAACCCCGGCGCGCACUGAGUACUGCCUCGGCUACAGCCUCCCUUGGUGAGGUCCAUCUUCCUCCCGCUCCUCUGCUUCGGCUACUGUAUGGGACAUUGCCAUGGCUAUAUUGAUGUGGUGCUUGUCUGGUUGAUGCUCUAUGCCCUACUCAUGCAUCGGUUUCUACUUGAGCUCUGUACUUGUGGAUCCAUGCCAUUUUAGGGUUUGCAGGCUGUUGUUCAUGUUUAGUUGCUAUCAUAGGAGCUAAUGUGAUGCUCUGGUUUACAUGUGGAUGCCCUGGUCCUAUAGCUAUGCUCCUGGAUUUGCUAGAUUGAUCAGUGGCAUUCGUGCUAGGGCGAUGAUGAUUAAUCGUGGCUGAAAUAAGUGUGCCUUUGAGCAAUCGUGGCACCUGUGCGUAUCAGGUUGGAUCCUCCCUCUUGUCUCUAGAAUCCUUUUUGAUCCUGUGAUACUUGUUGUUGUCCUUGGAUGGUCAUUCUUGUUGAGUGAUAACCAGGGCAGCUCCACUGUAUGAACAGAUUGAUCUGGUGAUAAGAGAUGACGGGGGUAGGUUAUAUGAUCGAGGAAAGGUGAAUCUGAGCCCGCUAUGAUGGACAGGCCGCUCUCGCACCACCAGACUCCCUUCAGGGUAGUUACCCACGGGCACGUACUUUUGCUGUUUAUUUUUACUUGUGAUUCCGCUCGUUGUGAACGUGGCUCGAUCCAUGUUGUGGCCCAAUUAUUAUUUUUGUUUUGUUUCGAUGGAUCGUCUUGGCUUGCUUUUGGCCUGAAGUUGUUGCCUUGCUUUUGGCACACCUGAUUCCACUACCUUUUGUUGUUGCUUGGACCAGUUUCUAUGUAAUGAACAUAUUUAUAUCAAUGUUGUGCUUCUGUUAUAAUCUUGCUA